GAACUCAUUUCAGCAGCACAUAUACUAAAAUUGGAACAAUAAAGAGAAUAUUAGCAUGGCCCCUGAGCAAGGAUGACACACAAAUUCAUGAAGCAUUCCACAUUUUU
This 107-nucleotide small nuclear RNA is filed under the name Marmota marmota marmota (Alpine marmot). RNAcentral also lists the same sequence under 1 other name. Lineage: Eukaryota; Metazoa; Chordata; Mammalia; Rodentia; Sciuridae. The record is from RNAcentral.